Molecule: ribosomal RNA, 466 nt
Filed under: uncultured bacterium
Lineage: Bacteria
Description: partial 16S ribosomal RNA
Rfam family: Bacterial small subunit ribosomal RNA
Source: RNAcentral
GAUGAACGCUGGCGGCGUGCUUAACACAUGCAAGUCGAACGAUGAAGCCCAGCUUGCUGGGUGGAUUAGUGGCGAACGGGUGAGUAACACGUGAGUAACCUGCCCUUAACUCUGGGGUAAGCCUGGGAAACUGGGUCUAAUACCGGAUAGGAGCGCCUACCGCAUGGUGGGUGUUGGAAAGAUUUAUCGGUUUUGGAUGGACUCGCGGCCUAUCAGCUUGUUGGUGGGGUAAUGGCUCACCAAGGCGACGACGGGUAGCCGGCCUGAGAGGGUGACCGGCCACACUGGGACUGAGACACGGCACAGACUCACACGGGAGGCAGCAGUGGGGAAUAUUGCAAAAUGGGCGAAAGCCUGAUGCAGCGACGCCGCGUGAGGGAUGACGGCCUUCGGGUUGUACACCUCUUUCAGUAGGGAGGAAGCGAAAGUGACGGUACCUGCAGAAGAAGCACCGGCUAACUACGUG